This 20-nucleotide unclassified non-coding RNA is filed under the name Chlamydomonas reinhardtii. RNAcentral describes it as "small RNA Cre_2170". Lineage: Eukaryota; Viridiplantae; Chlorophyta; Chlorophyceae; Chlamydomonadales; Chlamydomonadaceae. The record is from RNAcentral.
UACAAACUGUGAAAGCAUGG